GACGAACGCUAGCGGGAGGCUUAACACAUGCAAGUCGAGCGGUAUGGAUAGCUUGCUAUCCAGAGAGCGGCGUACGGGUGCGUAACACGUGUGUAACCUACCUUUAUCUGGGGGAUAGCCUUUCGAAAGGAAGUUUAAUACCCCAUAAUUUAAUGCUUGGCAUCCAUUAUUAUUGAAAACUCCGGUGGAUGGAGAUGGGCACGCGCCAGAUUAGCUAGUUGGUGAGGUAACGGCUCACCAAGCCAAUGAUCUUUAGGGGUCCUGAGGGGGAGAUCCCCCACAGGGGGACUGGAAAACGGGGCACACGGCUACGGGCGGCAGCAGUGAGGAAGAAUGGACGAGGGGUGAUAGCCUAAUGCAGCCAACCCGCAUGAAGGAUGACGGUCCUAUGGAUUGUGAACUUCGUUUGUACAGGGAUAAACCUACGCUCGUAAGGGUAGGUGACGGUACUGGACGAAUAAGCACCGGCUAACUCCGUG
This 479-nucleotide ribosomal RNA is filed under the name uncultured bacterium. Its description in RNAcentral is "partial 16S ribosomal RNA". It matches the Rfam family "Bacterial small subunit ribosomal RNA", at positions 28 to 507 of the family's 1533-position model. The record is from RNAcentral.